Molecule: ribosomal RNA, 425 nt
Filed under: uncultured bacterium
Lineage: Bacteria
Description: partial 16S ribosomal RNA
Rfam family: Bacterial small subunit ribosomal RNA
Source: RNAcentral
GUGGGGAAUAUUGGACAAUGGGCGCAAGCCUGAUCCAGCCAUGCCGCGUGAGUGAUGAAGGCCCUAGGGUUGUAAAGCUCUUUCACCGGAGAAGAUAAUGACGGUAUCCGGAGAAGAAGCCCCGGCUAACUUCGUGCCAGCAGCCGCGGUAAUACGAAGGGGGCUAGCGUUGUUCGGCAUUACUGGGCGUAAAGCGCACGUAGGCGGACAUUUAAGUCAGGGGUGAAAUCCCGGGGCUCAACCCCGGAACUGCCUUUGAUACUGGGUGUCUGGAGUAUGGAAGAGGUAAGUGGAAUUCCGAGUGUAGAGGUGAAAUUCGUAGAUAUUCGGAGGAACACCAGUGGCGAAGGCGGCUUACUGGUCCAUUACUGACGCUGAGGUGCGAAAGCGUGGGGAACAAACAGGAUUAGAUACCCCUGUAGUCC